Falco peregrinus (peregrine falcon) is the source of this 13096-nucleotide RNA transcript. It is a transcript of the gene named CDAN1 interacting nuclease 1, with no coding region annotated. The record is from RefSeq and is a predicted model, not a curated record. The transcript has 12 exons. Lineage: Eukaryota; Metazoa; Chordata; Aves; Falconiformes; Falconidae.
CGCCCCGGCCGGGCCGCGGGGCGGAGCCGCGGGAAAGCGGCCGCUGCAGCCGCCCGUGGCUGCCGCGGCACCAGUAGCGCAGGGCGUUUGGCGGUUGCCGCGACCCCCCCCAUCACUGGCCUUCUGCCUCUCGCCGCCCGGUGUGGCCGCCGUGCCGGGGGCCGGAGCGGCGCGGCCCGCCCCGCUCCCUUCGCCUCUCCCGCCGCCGCGCAGGCCCGGCGCUGUGAGGUUGGGCGGUGCGAGGCAUGAAGCUGACCAAAGCCCAGUACGAUGAAAUAGCCCAGUUCCUGGGGCAUGUGCAGCCCACCCGGCAGAGCCUGAGGCAGCUGAAGGAGAAGUUCCCUAGUCAAUCGCAGUCCACUCUGCUGAGCAUCUUCUCCCAGGAGUACCAGAAACAAAUCAAAAGAACACAUGCCAAGCAUCACACUGCUGAAGCUAUUGAAACUUAUUACCAAAGGUACCUGAAUGGGGUGAUGAAAAAUGCAGCUGCCCCUGUGUUACUGGAGCUGGCCAAUGAGGUGGAUUUUGCCCCAUCACUGAUGGCUCGUAUUGUGUUAGAAAGGUUUCUACAAGAAAAAGAACAAGCCAUCCCCUCCAAAACUCUUAUAAAUAGUAUGCUACGGGACCCUUCUCAGAUUCCAGAUGGAGUUUUAGCAAAUCAAGUCUAUCAGUGUACUGUGAAUGACUGUUGUUAUGGACCACUGGUGGACUGCAUCAAACACGCUAUUGGGCAUGAGCAUGAAGUCUUGCUGCGAGAAAUGCUUUUGGAAAAAAAUCUCUCUUUCAUAGCUGAAGAUCAGCUUCGUGCAAAGGGUUAUGACAAAACACCAGACUUUAUUUUAGAAGUGCCAGUAGCUGUUGAAGGACACAUAAUUCACUGGAUUGAAAGCAAAGCCUCAUUCGGUGAUGAAAGUAGCCACCAAGCCUACUUGCAGGACCAAUUUUGGAGCUACUGGAACAGAUUUGGCCCUGGAUUGGUCAUCUACUGGUACGGAUUUAUUGAAGAGCUGGACUGCCAUCGUGAACGCGGUAUCCUGCUGAAAGACUGCUUUCCUACUGACAUCGUGACUCUGCGACACAGCAUGGCUCAGUGCUGAUGUUGGGAGGAAGAGGUAAAUCCGGAAGCAAUUUUACUUUCCUGCAGUGUAAACUGAUGGCAGCAUCUGCCCUGAACUUCAGCUGAACUCCUGCUGCCCGCCCUUACGCUACUGCCUCCUUACACAAACAUAUCAAGAGUUUCUGUUUUGCUUCAGACCUCUGUUGUGAUCAGCCAAAAACGACAGACACAACCCACUCAUUAUCAGCAUUUCUGUCUCUGUCAAACAGCUAGUUUCUAGAUACUCAUAAUCUUUCUUCCUUCCGGAUGGCUGCUUCUAACAUUCUAAACAAAGACAAAAAUGCACAACAAAAGGUGCAACUUUCAGUUCUUACCCCUGUUACGGAAUCACUGUUAAAAAUAAGUAGCUUUUUAUGGUUUCACUCACAAGUUUACUCAGUGCUAGUGAUCUGACUGAAACACCUACAGUGAUGUGGAAAAUUGGUAAAGACUCUUAUUCUGGGACUUAAAAAGAAUAUAAUGCACAGCUCCUAAAGCACAAGUGGUAAGACAGGAUCACGUAAGUUCUGGCUGUUACAGUAAAUAGCCAGGUUUGAGGACGAUAAUUUGUAUAUGUGUUUCAUCACUAUCUGAUUGCUAAAAUCAACAACGGCAUCCCAAGUAAUCAACUGAAAAAUAUCUAAGUUAGGGGAUUUUUAGAGAAGAGGCGAAAGUGAAGAGCAAGGGUUUAUUUUAUGGAUAUGAGCCUGUGAAGUUUGAAGCUAGUUUUGUGGGGGUUUUAAUAAGCAUUUUAAUGACUUAAAAAUAACUUGUGUUUUGUCUUUUCCUCCCCGCUCCCUCCCCGGAACCUAGACCUAGGAAGUCUCUUAACUGACUUUAAGGAAGGAAUCGGUCUUGACCCCUGUAGGUACUGUAACAUACCAUUUUCUGGCAUACUGAAGUCCAAAAGAACAAUGUGUGGGAGCUCUCUAUGUGGGUUACUUCUGAAGAAGAUUACCAUCCUGGUGUUCAAGAAGGGGAGUGAAUAAAAGAAUCACGUACCUAAUCCAAAGCUCUGCUUGCUUUAUGAAGAGAAACAAAAGCCUUCCUCUCACACGUGCCAAGCCUGGCCAAAGUUGUUCUUGUAGCUGCUUCUGAAGAAAGUCAACCUGCAGCCUCCUGAAGGACAACAGAUGGAAACCUCACUGUCACCAGAGACUUAGAUGGCAGCUGUACUUUGCCCAGUCCUGGCUUGCAAGACCCUGUGAAGGAACCCCACCUUGCUGGGCCAGUACACAGGUGUCCUACCACCCAGAGAGGGGAACAAGGUUCCUUCUGCUGCAUUGCAUUCAGUAAAAGGCUUUGUCUUUGAAAUCAAAAGCAAUUUUGUUCUCCCAGUAUACUCUGCUAGUUGUACCUAUGAUACUUGCUUUUUUGUUUGUUUCCAAUUCCGCUAAUGAGAUUUUCCAUUAUUCUUUCCUUUAUACAGUUUUCACUGCUUUCUGCCAUCUGAUUCAAUCUGAUAAAUCUCCCCUAUUCCCUUUCCGUGUGUUUUUACUCUAGGAUUUAAAAAACAAGUGUUCUUAGAGGCAUAGUAGCCAGCAUGUUUACAGCAGUGACGCCUUAAAACUAAUGUACGCAAGUUGUUCUUUUAAAUGUUGGCCAGUCAAACGCAUUGCUGUGCUUCCCACUGAUCCACUAACAAUGUUAAAGCACGACUUCCUCUGUCUAUUUAGCCCUUGUGUGGCAAGCCCAUAAGUGAUGGCUUCCUGGUUUUAUAAAUACUAGCAGCUAAACAGUAAAGCAUUUUCUGAUUUCUUGGCCCCAUACUUCCUUCAAAGAUAUCAAAAAGUAUUUUCCUGAAUUCUUUGGCAAGGCACAUUUGAUGUGACUCAGGAGCAGAAGAAAACAAAGGAGAGGACCCAUCACAGGGAUUAAGUCUCAGGUUUAGAUCCAGGCCCUGACAGUCCAGUGACAGAAGAACGAAACUAACUGUUUCAUCUCUUUAGCUGUGUUCAGCAUCUGGCUCUACAGAAUUGAAUCAGCAAUAGGAUUAGUACUGACCUUAGCAGAACAAGAUGUUCACCACACUGGCUUAGGGUCUGAAGGCAGUUUUGCAAUGUGUUCCCAUCGUCUGCAGUCGUACUCUGAUCUCCCCUGUCUCUCUCCUCCUCGCUGCAGUGCUUUCUCUCAGCUCCACAGGUCCAGAUUGAGAGGCAGCUUGUGAGACACAUAUACUUAGCUAGAUGUAUUCCAUUUGCCAAAGUGCUAAAAAUGAAGAUAUUUUUAAAUAAUUGUUUCAUUGUCUAGUUUGUUUAAUCUUUCUGCAUUGUUCUCACUUUGGAAAAUUCCAUUCACCCACAUGACUGGGAUAAUACCUUCACCAGAAACACCCUUGAUUUACUUUAUCUGCUUAAGUUGUGGAGCCAGGUCUUCUCCUGUCCGUGCUGUAAACCAGCACUUCUUCAGCAACUUAAAAAAUGUUUCUGUAUUUGCCAAUUUACAAUUAUUAAAGCUCUGGUGGUGCAAUAUAAAAGUCAAUGCCUGGAGAAGGAAAACUGAGCUGAUAGAUUUCUCUUCUUUGCAUAUAGCCUCUGCCAAAAAUACCAUGAUAUAGAUACCACAAGCAUAUUGGCAAGUUUUAGAUCUAUCUGAGUGGCACAAAAGUAUGCUGCGUGGCAGAUGAGCACACUGAAGGUCCAUAAGUUUGUCAUGAAAUAAGAGGGGUCUUUGAAUGGAUAAAAUUACCUGUGUGCCAUUGUUCAUUUAGUGAAAAGGGGUCAUAAAGUACCGUUUUAAUUCAGUUUAAAAGAAAAAAAAAAAAAAAAAAAAAACCACCACACUAAACACCACAGCUUUCAGAAUGUAACUGAUUUCUUCCAAAACUGUUCACUGGCUGAUAUACAGCACAUUGUAACAUUAUUUUGUUCAUAUUUUAAAAGAUGUGUCUUGAGUCACUGAACCAGCUCAAAAUAUAAACCUCAUCAGAUCACAAAAAUGCUGAAUGAUUUUCAAAUAGGUGAAUGAGUGCUGAUGCUGGGCUGUGCGAGACACAGAUCAGCCAUUCUUCCAUAUUUCUAAACGUAUGAAAACUAAACAAGAUGCAUCUCCACAGGCUGAAGUAUGGCUGACCUGAUCCAAGGAAUGAAGGGAAACGCAACUGUCUCUUGUAAAGCACUUGAUCAACCUGUCUCCAUAUUUCAACCUUCCUUACAAUGAACCAACCACUUAGAGUUUAUAAGAUGGAGGUUAAGACAAACACUUUAACCUACCGAUGAAUACAGCUGUAAUGAAAUAGCAAUACAACGAUGCUUUCCUUCUCUUGUGCCCCAAAUGUCAGCUGUGCCACUGAGGGAUUUUAAGUGUGCUUAAGUGUUUGGGGUUUGGACUUUUUUUGCUUUGCUGUUACUUGUUGUGGGUGGUGAAUGCUCUUGAUUUUCCCAAUUACAGCAAAGGCAAGAAAGAAGGAGAAAAAUUAAAGUACUUUAAGAAGGAAAAAAAAAAUUGCCAGGAACACUAGGAGGCCAAGACAGACACAGUCAGAGGCCUGGAAAUUUCAUUAGAAAGUCUGUUCACAUGAUGCCUCCAGAUUCAAAAGACUGUCAUCGAAUUGCACGGUCUGAAUAUAAUGGAGAUACAAAGAUAGAGUUAAUACCAAAGGUGGCCAGGAGGACUGCUAGCAUAAUGUGUGAAAUGGGAAGAUGAGAAUUGGACUAUCAGAACCUGUAGUGAGCUGUCUAUUAGAUAUGACUUUUCUCCUUGUGAAAUUAGCAGAUUUGUCACAAAAAUAGUUCAGGCAGAAUGAAUUCAUAAACCUCUGAACUGCAAGAUGAGAUUUCUCUUCAAAGGGUCUGGUGUAUCUAGCUAAUCAGGUGGCAAGACAAAAAGCCCAGCAAGCAUGCCAAUAAGAAAAAAAAAAAAAAAAAAAAAAAAAAAAAACCACACACACCACCGAACAGAUAAUCCUCAGGUUCCAGAUUCAUCAGGGAGAGCGAGCUGAGAUUUAUACGGUGGGUUUACGCUAAACACUUUUACUUGCAGAAGUAAAGCUGAAGUCAUGCAACUGGAGCUCUAUGGAUACAGAAAGCUUUCCUGGCUGUACCAUCAGAAACACAUCACUGGCAUAUUCCACAGCUCCUGCAUGAUGCCCCACUUUAGCUACCUCUGUUGUCAAUGCAGGGAGACAGGCUUUGGCCCCAACAGCAGUUCCACCUGGCACAAUCUUCUAAAAACUUCCAUCAAAAGUUACAGCUUGAAGUACAAAACCAUUGUGUGUGAAAGAAGUGUCCAGUUACCUCAUCUGAGACUUGGGGAUGAUUUAGUCAUGCAGAGUAGCCUAAGAGAAGGUGACUGCUGUCAUGAAGAUGUGUACGAAGCUAGAAACUUUGUGAAGGUGCCUGCCUUGGGCAGCUCACCGGCUAGAAUUAUGAGUAACAGAAUUAAUACUGGCGGGGUGCACAUCUUAGUAUGUUAUACACUUGGGAAAGUAUUAACUCUGAAGUUUACUGGAGCAGACAGACUAUAGUAGCAAGGCAGGAAGGGAUCACAGCAAAAAGCAGCCCAGCGCAGUUCUAAAAAUAGUCUUGUUUGAGCAGCAACUAAAAACUCAAAUUAGAUACCUGCCUCAGACCUCAUAACAGACUGUGAUUCUUCCAGAUACAUAAAUCUCGUGCUGAGAAGUCCCAGUGAACACUAACAUUUGUUCUGCUAGUAAUGCGUAAGGGUUGGUGAAUAUUCUUCAGAGACAACUAAUGUAACAAUACUUGUAAGGUGCAAGCUUGUCCCACCACACCGCUGACACAGCUAAACUGAGGCAUUAAAAGUAAGUUUAUUGCCAACGACUGCACUAGAGUAAAACACAAUAGACAGCAGCUCAGUUUCCAAGUCCUGUGUAUAGCUGUGCUUCUGUACUCCUGUGUUUUGCUUUUCUGAUUUAACAUUUGUUUGGGGUUGGAUUCUUUUGUUUGGCUGGUUUUGUUUCCCACGUAUCUUUCAAAGGCAAUCUUAUGCUGCACAGACUAAAAUAUUUGCAGUGUACUUUUGUUCUUACUGUGUACUCAGCAAAUUUUCUCCAAAGCAAGGCCAAGUGAGGUUAUGAUACACUGAAUCCGAAGAGGACUUUGCAAAUAAGUCAGCGCACACAUUUGUAUUUUUGUUUGUCCUGUGAAAUUCAAGUACUGUUAGCAGCAGAAAUUAUCCACUUAAAUGUGUCAGGCUUAUCUCAUCUCUAAAAAUUCUUAUACAUAGCCCUUAGAAGUAAUUUAGCCCUACCAGUGGUGUUCACGGGAGGAUAUUAACCUCUUAAUUUAGAAAGGCAGACUACAGCGUCUGAGCACUGCGUGACAAUCCAUAUACUACAACCUACAAGAGAUAGCUUCUUGUCUUAUCUUCCAAAAAAAAUGAAUUGAGAAAUCAUGAGUGGGAUUUUUCUAGCGCAGUCAGCAAUAGCUUAACUCAUUGCCUCUAGACAUCACUUACCAAUUCUUUUAGAGGAAUCCAAGUUAAGGCAAUUGCCAAAUGCUCUUGAAAAUCCCUGUCCAGCUUUAUAAAAAACUUCAAUUUGAAAUGAAAUGCAGCUGUAUUUUUUAUUUAUUUUUAUUUAAGAGCAUAGACACAGUUACAUGGAUGCUGUCAGUCAAGGAGAAGCAACUCAGCUGUAUAUCCAAUUUGUUCAGGUAUAAAGCUGACUUUAUAGAUAGAUAGAUAGAUACACACAGACUAUUCUUUAGCAGGAGAUGUAGCAGAUAGAAAGGCAGAAUCCCAGUGGGAUGUUUAUUGCUAACAAAGCAUUGGGAGUGGUCUACGAGAGAAAGAGCUUUAGUCAGUGAUGCAUUCUAGAACAUAAAGCAGGUUUUACAAACUCUGCAAAGCUAAGAAGUCCAUAGUAUGAAAUGCUGCUGAGCUCACAGCAGCACCACACAGAUACCGCAAUCACAUGUUGUGCAUCUCAACUGUUCCAAGGAAAGAAAUAUGAAAUGCUUAUUUAGGGGCCUCAGCUCCCCGUGUCAUCACUGAAGGGGCUAUCCACCCCAGAAGGUGCAAUGGGGACCACCUUCGGGCUGAGCAGCCACCUGAAGGUCAACACAACUACUGCAGCAGGAACCCACUGGGGAGAACUGCAUGCAAAUUCCUUUUUGCCCCUGAAGCAGGAGUCUUCAUUAAGACAUAGCAGCGCCUCCACCUACUCACAAACCAAAGCCUUAAAUUUAAGUGCCUACAAAUGCUUUCCCAAUAAACAAAUGUAGAGAACUCUUCCAAAGUACUUCUGUAUCUUCCAGACAUAAAUCCCUCUCUCAGUGCACUUGCAUGGAAAGGCAGGUGGUUACAGCACCUUCUUGGGCUCAGAAAGGCACAAGUGGGUGUCCAAACUUGUAGGCACAAUUGACAGUCUCCACUCUCAUCUGUCACAGUCAUUCUGAUGCAGAAAGAACUCAAGUUUCAUGGGCCAGAAAGUAGGAAAACGAACGAGCAUCACAGUACUAUUUCAGUUAUUUCUUCAGUCAAUCUAAAUCUCAUAUGAAGGAGAAAACUAAAUACAUAUUAAUGCACUUAGCAAAAUGCAAUUGUAUAAGAGGGGGGACAGCAACUCACUCUCCUCCCAUGUGUUCUGUAAAGAAAAAAGUUGCUAUCACUCCACUUUAAGUAGAGAUUGAUUGACUUACCAUAUGUAGGUUUGCUUUUAGAUUAACAUACAGUUGAAACCCGAUAGAGAAGUUUCCCCAACUUCUGGAUCCUACCCAGGAAAAAAGCCUGAACAAGGUGACAAGGUGAAAGUGCUCCAGGGUGCGGGGAGCAGAACUUCAGGCUUGUGGGGAAUUCUGGGGUCAAAACCUGAGGUCUAGUUUGCCCUGGACACCUGGGAAAUGAGCUGCUGGAACCAGGAUCUGCAAGAAUGACGUUCCAAGUUUAUGCAUCUAAAUUAAUUCCUUUUGAAUCUAACCUUUAAGAUUAGAAUAGCAGAGACUCAAAAUCUAACAAAAGAGAAGACAAAUAGAUUGACUUUUCAUCUCACUGGCAGUACAGAGAAGCCUUUCUUCACAUGCUCAGCUACCUAAUGUUUCAGAUGAAACAGAUGUUUCUGUAACCAGUGUAUAAUUUUUACAUUACAAAAAUUAAGUAGAAAGACUCAAUAAAGAGUUUAAGGAAUCUAAUCAUCUCUCUUUCCCUAACUCUAAACGGGACAACCGUUUUCUAUAGGCUUCUUCAGUGGCACAGCCCAGCUACACUGGUUUAUAAACCUUACUCUAGAGAAGCUUAGCAGGAAAGGUAGCAUCCAAAAAAAGAAUGGAAGAUAGAUAGGUAAAAAAUACCCUUAAUACCGGUAUGGAAUUUGCACCAGCUAAAGAUGAAGUAAACAUGAACACAAGAGCCCAAUCUUCUUGCCAUGCCUUUUUGGUUGAUGCUAACAUAUACAAUUACACACUUCUAAGUUCCCCCCCAUUAUGAGAUGUUAACUUUAAACCCAGUAUUUCUCUAUCAUGCCUUGCCAGACUUGUUUGUUUGUUUGUUUGCAUUCAAACCAUGAGGUAAAUAAUCUAGUGAUUUGGCACAGCCUAAGUUCAUAGGGAAAGUUCACCCAGGAAGUGCCAAGCACUCCAAAAAUUAAGCUAGGUAAGGCAUUUAGGUACUCGGAAAUGGGGGGUUCCAUGGUUUGCAUUGAGUCACCCUCCAUGACCGCCACUGGGACCAGAAGUACCCUUUUAUAGAGCAACCCAUUUCCUUCAGUAUUCAGAGGAUCUCGAGUCUGAGCUCCUACUGUUCUGUGCAUUUUUUUGCAGUCUUUAAACCUUUCGAGCUGCCAUACACUGAGAUUGCAAAUUCUCUGUGGUGCCGAACGCCCCCAAUUCCCUGAAUUAUCGCCAUAACUCAUUACAUGAGUAGGCCUUGCUGGUUUAACAGACAGAAUUAAGAUCACAGUGGAUCCUACGUGGCAUUUUAUGAGUACACCAGAAGGCUGAACAGAAGAACUCACCCAGGCACAAACAAUUCCUGUAUGAUAUAACAGGAUUAGCAAAAAAAAAAAAAAGAAACCACCACACUAUAUAAGCUUGAAAACACUUGCCUCACUCUUCUGUGGUUUGAGAAGUGAAGUCUAGCACAGCAAAACAAAAAUCAGACCUACUUUUAAUCUGUGAACAGCUCUCUUGAUGAAAUCUGUCAUGUUUCUGGCUUCUUUUGUUCCUUGUGAAAAGAGCAAAAAUGUUAUUUUUCGUAGAGAAUUUCCAAAUGUUUUAUCUUUAUUAAUGUUUCUUUAUGAUAUAGUUCGUCACUGCAGGCAAAUCUCAUUCAUUAAUUCUUCCAUUGUCAAAACAACAUAACCAAUAGUUUAUAACAUGAAUCUUGGACAUCAAUCAUAAUAUAGAGAUUCCCCAUUAUGUACAGGAUUGUCUAUUCUGAUAUGUUUGAAAGGCCAGUCAUGACUGGUUAUACAUUAAUCUGUUCCUAUGAGCAGCCUAAUAUUCUGUAUUGAAGCAGUCAGCCUAUUAAUGGCAUAUGAAGUUUUUAGAUGCUUUUGUCACUGUUUGUGGUCUUCCAGAUGGUAAGAAAUUAAUCGCUAGGUUUAAAUAUUUUUUUAAUGCUCUUUCUGUGAGUUUCAUAUUUGAUGCAAGAUUUGGCAAGUCCUCUGAAGUUUGGGUUCUUAAAGAUACAGCCUUCUACCCAAAAAGCUUGAGAUCCUUAUUCCAUGUUACUAAAAUGCAAACAAGAAAUGAAAACUAUUGGGAAGGAGGCAAAAAAAUUAUGUAAUAGAAGUGAUUAAUAGUUUAAUUUCUUACAAAAGAGUUAAGCAAAACGUAGCCUAUCUAAGUGUUCAAAAAAAUAUGGCUGUUUCAAGACCUCUUUAGAAAGAUUUAUCCAUCAGCUGUCAUUUUUCUCUUAAGCAGGAUACACAAAGAUUCAGUGCUGCCAGCACCUGAUAUACACAUUUAAGAGACCUCAAUGCCUUUUCUUUGAGGUAACUUGAAGAAAGAGCACAAAACCAAAACAAUAGUAGCCAGAGUGCUUCUCGGGGCUCUUUUUUUUUUUUUUUCUUUUUUUGAUUUUGGGGCUCUUAGUGCUGGCAAUUUUUAAUUGAUGGGGGAAAGUGGAGAGGAGACCACUCAAGUCAUCGCUGCAUCUGUGGGUAUUAUGUGAUUAUUUAAAGGAUCUAAAAUCUGCAUAUCCCAUUUGCUUUUUUACACAACUAUAAGCAGAUCUAACACCACAAAAACCCAUAGCAAAUCACCAGAAUGGGGGAAAUCAGAGGAGCUGAGGGCUACAAGUGACAGGCUGUUACGUUGCAAAGCAGUAAGUCAUCUCCUGCAAAGUUUUGAGGCAGAAGAAGGGAGUAAAGAGGAAAAAGCAAUGGGCUUCAAGUCUUAAAACUUGAUGAUCAAACAGGCAAUAGAUGACAGGUGAUUAUCAGUUUGGAACGGUGCAGUCCUAUGUACCAGGUGCUUCAGCUCUGGUGGGAAAGACACAAGCUUGUGCUUAUUUAGGAAGCAGAUUUAUCCCAUUCUUAAACUGCCGGAGACCCCCCCUGCUUGGGUCAGAGGUCACAUCUAGUCUGAUUUCUGAGAGGCAUGUUCUUUCAUAAAAGCAGAACAGCACAGCCAGCUCACUAAGAACAUUUACCCCAGGUAAACUGCAGUUAGGUGGCCCAGGCAGCAGAACCUUGCGAGCUUCCCUCAGCAGCCACCCACACCAAGCUGACCCCCUGCCCAAAAACCAGAGCGUGCAAAAGCCGCAGCCACCCCGCUCACUUUAGAAGUAUUUAAAGGGUCCUGGACUGCUUUCACAGGUGGGCUGUCAUCACUCGAGAAAUUGUUCUGCUUCCCCACUUCUCCGCCCUGAGUGAAGGUGCUUUGCCAGGGCGCUGAGGAUCACCUCCAGGCAGGAGGCAGCCUCCGGUCCCCAGCCCACUGGCUGCACGCCGGGCAGUGGGAGGCCAGCGCACCGCGGCCGGCAGGGCGCUGCAGCACGACCAAGAGCAGCACCCCACUGGCAGCCCACAGUCCCCUAGGCAGCCUGGGGACACUGGUUUACCUCUCAGCUUUCCCCUCCUUUACCUGGAAGUUUCUCAAACGCCUUCUCACCAGCCAAAAACAGGAGACCGUUUUUAUCCGAAUUAUCACUGCUGACAUUCCCCAGCUAACCACUAACCUGGCUGAGCAGAGGAAAACUGAUACAAAGGAGAAUAAGGGGAACACUGGGUUUUCUUAUUUCUUGUUGGCAAAAAUUGUGACAGUUGACAGCUAUCCCAUUCCUAUGGCUGAUUUUGACCAAGACGGCAAGCAUAUUGAAUGAAAUAUCACAGUUUAGACUUAGAAGCAACAACUGGGUUCUUUGUUUCAAGUUUUGUUUUGAUUUUAAGUAAAUACUGCAUUCUUUUCUUUCUCCAGUUCCCAAUUCUUGUCAGGCCACGUUCCUUCAUCUGCAGUGAUUUGCAGUUUUGGAAGAACAUGCCACCAUGGAGAUCCGAAUACAUACACAGUUAUGUUUCCUUGCUACUACGCACCACACCUAAAGAAGGUCCUUGUAUCAUUGAUGUUGCUAUCCCUGAUGUUGUACACAUGUGGAAAAUAUCUUCAGUUACCAGUACAGUAUUUGUGAAGAAAAAGAAAGCAUUAGCUAACCUUAACAAAAAAAAAACAAACAAAAAAAAAAAGGGGGGGGAAAACUAAUGUUCACCACAUGCAGUGCCUUAAGAAUUCAGAUGAACUUUCUGUGCUUCUCUUCUUUUGCUUUGGAAAAAUGUGUAAGCCAUGAUUUUAAAUCAUUUGCAAACUCCCCAGCUUUAUUAACGUAGGCUGACUGCAUGAAAGCACUAUUUUAACCUUAAACUGGACUACUAAUAAAAUCCCUACACAAUACCAGAUAUGUUUAAUUUCAGCUUUUAUUGCACUAUUAUUCUAGUGGAUCCCAAGAACAUCUGAUUGAAGUUACCUUAAAAGUUCUGCAUUUAAAUUAGAUACGGAACCAAAUAAACUCCACUGAUCACAACAACCUUGAACUAGUGGAAAUUCAGAUCUAGAUCCAGGCUUUGCAGCUGGAUUCCAUCCCAAGUUUAAAUGCGACUGAGAAUCAAAGAGUGUUGUGGCUGCACACACAGUUUACAGGAAAUAUUCAAUUCAACAUUUUUGGUAGGUGUUCCAUCCUUUCAUUACCCUCAAAUUUCUGCCCAACUCUUCAUACCGAUAGCUGAAUUCAGACUCUUGCUUUUUUUCAGAACCAACUAAAGCCUUAACAGGCACAUCACUUCACUACAGAAUAAAGAUAGUGGCACUGAUUUGAAUUCAAACCUCUAUGAACAACUGUUUCACAUCUAAGUAAUUGCACCAGCAGUAGUGGGGUUGCCUCCUUGUUUGGGGGAGGGGGGGGCAUUGGAAUCACAGCCCAUGACUUAAUCAUACAACAUGAAAAGCCUUUGGGCUAUCUUCUCAGCUGGGAUAAAUAAGCAGAGCUCUAUUGGUUUCUGGGUGAAUGAGAUUAUAAUUUGAAUCAGAAGCAUGGUGUUUGUUUAUACCAUAACAAAGUAUCACAGAAGUGUGUAUCAUAAGCCUUAAAGCACUGCGCUCAAGGACAGAAAAACCCAUGAGUCUGAGCUUAAGUUUCAGUGACUCCAGUGAAGUUAUGCCUAUUUAUUUCAGGAUAGCAGUGCUGAUGUGCACCAGCUGAGAAUCUGGCUCUUUAACUCCUAGAUGACAGCAAAAACUAUCUACAGGGGGAGAGAGAGGGAGCAGGGAUUAGAGGCAGCUUGAGCACAGAGCUGUACCACUGAUAAAUGGGCAUCAGCCAUCUCUUGAACAGGCAAGCCUGUUUCUUCCAAAAGCAAAACUGGAAAAUUAAUAAACACAUGUAAAAGACUAAUACAAAGGAUAUAUUUCCUUAAGGAACUGCAAAUACGUACACUAUGCUUUGCAUGCCAGUACAAAGGAUUUUGAUCUUGAGUAACACUUAACCAGUUACUCAUUUUGUGUGCUUGCACAUUCAACCCUCAUGAUUCAAAACAAGCUCCUGUAUAAAAUGCCUUUCAGGACAACCGAUCCGUUCAGUUACAUUGAGCAUAGGCUGUCAACAAAA